AAGUGAAAUUGCUGAUGAGUACUUCUCCAAAGGAGUGUGCCCAUUUUCUCUCGUAUCCUCAUGUGGCACACUCACUAGGAGAGUUUCAAGGUGAAUUUAAUGGGGGACUGUAUGCAAAAAGUAGUGCAGUACUUGGGACUAGUAAGAGGGGCUAUUACUACCCCUGAAGGUUGGAAGGAUGUGGGAGAGAGGGCUCUUAGUGGAAGGAAGAGUCCCGUGGAGAGGGACUGUGGGAGUGGCUCCACAAGGAAGGAGCCAGGGAAUGAAGGCCUUGAAACACCCUGUCCCCUCUGUCUCCUACUGGGCUGACCUCUACCGUCACCAGAUGGCAGAAGGAAUCUGUUGAUGCAGCCUGACUCCUGGGGCACAGAGGAGGUAGAAAAGGGCAGAGAGCAAAACUGAAGAGACAAAUAGGAGAUAUCCACCCGCUCUCCCACCCACACUGAAAGAAAUGACUUUGUCAUUUGGCAAUAAUGGCAAAACAUGGUAAGGGUUUGUGUGUGUGUGUGUGUGUGUGUGUGUGUGUGUGGUACUGAGGAUUGAGCCCAGGAAUACUGUAUCUCUGAGCUACAUCCUAAGCUCUUUUAAAAUUGAUUUUUGAGACAGGGUCUCACUAAGUUACUCAGGCUGGCCUUAAGCUUAUGAACCCCCUGCCUCAGAUUCCCAAGUAGCUGGAAUUAUUGGCAUGUGUGUCACCAUGCUUGGUAUUUUUAAUUGGCAUUUCCUUCAUUUUUAGUGAAACUAAGCAUUUUUACAUAUUUUAUUGGCAAUUUAUAUUUUCCAUUUUUACAAACUUCCUUUAAAAAACUAAUUUGUCUUGCCAGGCACAGUGGCACAUGCCUCUAGUUCCAGCAACUCGGGAGGAUGAGGCAGGAGGAUCCCUUGAGCCCAGGAGUUAAAGGAUGGCUUGGGCAACAUAGUAAGACCCUGUCUCAAACAAACAAACAAACAACAACAACAAAAAAAACCCAACAAAUUCUGUCUCUUAUUUUUCAGUACUGGGGAUUGUACCCAGGGGUGUUCUACCAUUGAGCUAUAUCCCCUGUCCUAUAUUUUGAUCCUUUUUAAUUUUGGAUGGGGACUGGCCUUCUGCUUGCAAUCCUCCUGCCUCAGCUUCCUGAGUUGCUGGGAUUACAGAUGUGCACCACCACACCUGGUUUAGGAUUUUUAAUGUUAUAUUUGGUUCUGAGAUUUAUAUUUGAAAAUGGGAUGAGGUAUAAUCAAAUCAAUUUGUUUUCCCAAAUGGAUAUCCAGUUGUCAUAGUGACAUUUAUCGAAUGUCCCACUAUUUUCCCAUUAUCUGGAAUAACAUUUUCAUAUAUAAUAAAUCCCUAUAAGUUCAUUUCUGGAUUCUUGUUUUGUACAUGUAUUUGUAAAUUCCAGUACUGUUUUAGUUACUGAAGAUGUUGUGUCCUUUGUUACUCUUCUAUUUCUUUCCAAAGUUCCCUUUGUCAUACUGCACAAUUAUUCUUCCAAAUAAGUCUUAGAGUCAGCUUAUCGACCCUUAUGAAAAAUUCUUGUAGUAUUUUAUGGGCAUGGAGCUGUGUUUAUAUAUUCACUUUGAGCUCCUUGAUUUGUUUUUGGUAUUAUGUCUUUCACAUCCAGGAAGGUAAUAUAUGCAGUAUUUCCAUUGUGUCUCAUUGUAAAAGUUUAUAGUUUUCUUAGUAGACAUCUGGCACAUUUUUAAUAGACUAGUCCAUAGAUAUUUUACCAUUUUCGUUUGGUAUAUUUUGUUCUAUUAUUAGUUCAAUAAUAGAUUGGUUGUUGGAGAUUUCAAGAAUUUUUAUUGUGUUCAUUCACUCAUCCCUACACAGCAAGAAGGUGGCUGGUAGAAGACAGGAAGAGAGCCCUCGUUGGAGCUGCCUGUGCCAGCCCCCGCCCGAGCCAGCACCCUGGUCUUUGACUUCCAGCUUCCAGAACCGUGAGACAAUGAUUUCUAUUGUUCAGUACCAAAAAUAUUUUAGUAACAGUUUUAACCUUUCCUUUCUGUGUUUCUUAAUCUUUUACCUUCCCAAGAUAAUUUUGAAAAGCAAAGCGUUUGCCAGACUCUUUCAGUUAAGGUUCAAGAUGUAUCUGUAUCUGAUAUAUUCACUCAAGACACGGAUGGAGAAGUGAGCAAUGUCAGGAAGAAGCAAUCUGUGUGAGAAGGAUUUUUUCUGACAACCACAGUGGUGGAAGAGUACUUUAGGAGCAGAAGUGCUGUCAUCCUGUCCUGUCAUUAUCCACUGCAGGAGUGGAGGGGAGCCACGGUGUUUUUCCUUGGUCUGCUCGGAUCAUGGAGCUGCUCCUGACUGUGAGGUUCUUUUUCUACUAAAAGCAACAACAACAUCAAAGAAAGACCUCUUCUCUUCUAAUAAACAUGGGGACUAUGGAUUGUCAACAGUUGGAAGCGUUCAUCUGUGAAUAACAGAGAUGCUAAAAUAUCAAGGACUUUAGCCACUUAGAAGUUGUUUCCCUUCUCUUGCAAAAAUUGGAGGUAGGAAGUUUGGUGGUUUGUGCCAUGAAAUCUUGUACCAUGAGAACUUUAAUCUUUUUUACUUCGUUCUGCAUAAACUACCAUUUCCAAGCUCACAUCAUGGUCCAAAGGGCUGUCCCAACUCCUGACAUCCUGCAUCCAAGUCAGAAAGAAGGAAGAAGCCACCAGGGGAACAAGUGGAAGGUACUGGGCGAAAUCCUCCUGUCUCUUAAGAAGGGUCCUAGACUCUGCUAUGUGGUUAUUUGGCAUCUUAUUGGACAGAACCCAAUUUCAUGGCCAGACAUGACUGUAAGGGAGGUUGGGACCACUAGCAUUUUUUGGGGGGGUGGGGAUAGGGGGCGGACCGUGUACCUAGGUACAAGGGAGAUGACCUCGGAAUCUUAUUUGACACCCUUCUCUGGCAGUUGAGUCUCUGGCUUUCUAGGGGGAGUGCUUCUGCUCUGUGAGUUCCAGGACACCUGGCUCUCAGGGAGGCUCAUCUCUGCCCAGUAUCCUGAUGACAGACAUUAGAGUUUCACCCUUUAAAGGGGCUUCACAGGUUUUAUAUAGUCCUGUGUCUGGGGUUUGGGGACCCUGAAUGUCUCAUGGCUUUGUAAAAGUAAGGGAGGCAUUUAUUAGGAGACACUUUGUGGUAUCUAUCAUAUAAAAGUACAUGAGUCAACAUCUUAUGAGAGAUUAAGGUCUAAAGACAGCUCUUAAGGAAAAGUCAUAGUCAAAAUUACUCUUUACACAGUCGUACGUCAUCCUCUACAACCUUGUAAAUGUGUAUCAGUUGGCUAUUAUCACAUAACUGGCCACCCCAAAAUUCAGUGGCAUAAAAUAACAAUCAUUUAUUCUCACACUUCUGCAAGUUGGCUGAUUGCGGCUGACUCAGCGAGGCUUGUGGGGCUUGGCUGUAAGCUGCAGGCUGGUCAAGUCCUGCUCUGCGUGUCACUCAUCUUCUUUAGAUUAGUGAGCUAGCCAGGACAUGUUCUGUCGGAUGGCAGAAGAACCACAGUGCGAAGUCAGCCGGGCAAGCACAUUUCAAGCCUCAGCUUGUGUUACAACUGCUCAGAUCCCAUUGAGCAAAGCAAGUCACAGCCAAGCCUAAUGUCAGGGGAUGAGGAAGUCACACUGUUCUGCACUGGGCUAAGAAGACAUGAGACCAAGCCCGAUGUCCCUCAAAAUUCACCCCCCCCUUGAGGGGAAAUACAGUAAGGACUUAGCGUCUUCACUUUUGUCUGCAAAUGUUUGAUAGGUGACUAAAUGCAGGCUUCAAGACUUGGCAUUUCUGCCUCCAUUUUGCAUCUGUCUCCUUUGCUCUGAGUCACCUUAAAUUCCAGGAACCACCGGGUUGAAUAAUAAACAUCUUGAGAUGAGUGGAAGCUACCUCCAGACAACAGCAACUUCCUUAUCCUGGGCAAAGCCCUGCCUGAACAAUCCUGAGUUAAUGAUGGACCAGGCCAAGCCAACCCAAGAUUACCUGUUUUGCAGCUAUGAAAGACUUCCGGCUUUGGAAGCCCCAAACCCUCACACUCGUUCCCCUGUCUAUCAAACCUCAAAGUCAUUGUCAAUUCCUGGAAGGAAGGGUUGAGGACUUGGGCCCUCUUGUCUUCCUAGUGUAGCCACACUGAUUAAAGUUCCUUUCAUAUUUUUUUUCACCAUUAAACUCUUAUGGAAGUAGCAUGAGAUGAGUAAAAUAUUUUUAUUAAACAAUUUAAUUUGCCACAGAAUUAUGUUUUUAAAAUGAGUUCUCGGGCUCACUUUGGCAGCACAUAUACUAAAGUUGGAACCAUACAGAGAAUAUUAGCAGGUCCCUAUGCAAGGAUGAUACACAAAUUGGAGAAGCGAUCCGUAUUUUUUCAGAGAGAACUAUAAUAAAAACCUAAAAGGUUAAAAAAAAUCAGUUUUCACGUAUUAAUCAAUUGUGACCCUCAAUUCUUUCAUUUUUAAUUUGAAUAUGUCGAGCAAUUCAUCACCAUGCAUUUGCCUGGUCAGCUGAUGAUUUUGCAUUUUACUUCUUUAUUAAGGGUUUGGAACUCAUAAAAUAAUUCAUAUUUCUGUAUGAAUAGACCAAAGUUCAUUGGUUAUUGCAGCAGGAUGGCAGGC
Molecule: long non-coding RNA, 4563 nt
Filed under: Marmota monax (woodchuck)
Lineage: Eukaryota; Metazoa; Chordata; Mammalia; Rodentia; Sciuridae
Source: RNAcentral